UUCAGCUGUGUGAUGAGGAGGAUGGGCAAGUCGUUGGUUAUCUGUCACUGUGUAAUGAAUUAGCCCUAAAUGUAGUGGCUCAAAACAAUAAUUGACUUAAGAAUCUGCAGCUUGAGUAGGGCUUAAUGGGGAGGCUUGUUACUGCUGAAUCACCAUCAGUCGGGGCUGCUUUAGUGGGACAAGGAUUUCCACUUUAGAGAUGGCUACUCACAUGGGUGGCAAGUCAUUGCUGGCUGAGGGCUGGGAGCCUUCUUUUCUUUCUAUCUGGGCCCCAACACAGGCUGCUUGAGUUGCUUCACAGCGUGGUUGCUUGGCUCCAAGAGUGAGCAUCGCAGAGAACCAGACACAGCUGCAUUGACUUUGAGGACCCCAGCCGCAUGCACUGUCACUUUGGCCACAUUCUAUUUGUGGAGUCAGUCACAGAGGCUGAUCUAUGUACAAGGAGAAGGAAUGUAGACCUCAGUUUAUGAUGGGAAAGGUAUCAAAAUCAGAUUGUCAGAAGAGCAAGUGGGAUGGAAGGCAUUGUUGUGACCAUUUUUGGAAAAUACAACCUGCCACUGAGGCUGUCAGAGAGAGUGCAAAGGAGAGAGGAGGUUAUAAAAUAUCUUCCCAGGCUUUGGCUUCAACAUCUCUGAUCUACCGUGAUUCCUAUGGCUUGCUGAGCUGAUGCAGGGAAAUCUCAUGAGAAAGAGCUUUACAAUGGUUCCUGCAUGCUUAUGAGCCCUCUGAAGUUGAUCCUGGGCAGAAAGAAGCCUCAGGCAAAUGAGACCUGAACAUUCCUUUCCCACUGUGGGUGGGUUACAACUUGAAGGAAGCCGUUCACCCAGCCAUCUAAUUUCCCAGAGAUCUUGAUUGCGAAGGACCGUUUGCAGAUCCCAUCGGAGGGGCCCAGGUCAAGGGACACCUGGGAGCUGACUUCUCCAGAUCUACACGAGGACAACACAGAAGCCUGGGAGUCCCUUUCCCCCGUCCUCUCUGCUAUUUGGACUGCUCUAUCUGCUUUCAUCCUAGAAGGAAGAACGAGAAGAGGAUUGAACAUAUAGCUAUAACAGUCAAGUCCAGAUUUCAUGGAACAUGGCAUAGGCAGGAUUGCUUUUAAUAAAAAAUCAAUUAGGAUGGACGACGGGCGAAGCUUCUCUCAAGACUCAAUUUGAGCAGAGCCCAUCAGGCAAUCACAAGAUCACUAAAGGGAUGUUCUUGUUGCCCUAAGAAAUGAGCCUCUCAAGAGGAACCCACAACCCAACAUGAAGAAGUAACGAGAGUGGGGUUCAGGGGAAGGGUGCAUUAGGCAAUCUACUUGGACAUCUUCUUGGCCAUGGCAAGAACUGGAGGGGCCAUGAAGGUCAAAUAAUUCUAAAACUAUCGCAGGAGAACAGACUGGCACUUGGAAACAGAGCCCUGGUCAAUGGCUAAAGAGAGCAUUAUCUAGUGUGUCUUCAGGGUAGUAAUGGUAGAUUUCCUCACAGUGGCCAUUUGAGAAUUGGGGGAAUUAGGGUUCUAGGCAUCCCAUUUCCACCUUGAGAUGCCGCUCAUGUGGUCUAUGAGAGGGUGUGGAAGCCUGUAUGGAGUAUGCUCUGUGAGCCCUGCGGUCAUUUUACCUGAUGUUCCUGUAGCUUUCACAUACACUGUGUCAGAUGCCUCAGAACAGCAAUGAUAACAUGUUUUGGGCUAAUGAAGAGGGAGGAUGUUACUUCAGCUGCUAUUUUACAUCAUCCUCAGGAGCUUCCUGGGUGUUACCUGAAACCAGCCCCCACAGCAGAGGGUAGGGAGAGACCAAAGAAAGAGGCAGACCACUGGAGGUUGAUAGGCGGCAGAGGUAAUAAGCAAGGGAACUUCCUUAUCAGACUUGUCUUGGGCAGCCUCAAGACAAGUAGAUUUCCAUGCUGCCUGCCAAAUCUUACGUUUUUAUAUAAAAGCAUUAACUGGAUUCAGUCAUGUAUACUGUCCUCAUAGUCUCAAAACUACAUUUCUGUCUCAAGGCUGUAUCCAUGGGACAGCCUCUGGGAAGUGGGAAAGCAAACAGAAUGCACAUUACAAGGAGAGGAGUGGGGAUGGGGAACCUCCAAUUGCCCAGGUCCAGCGCACAGGUCAGCCGGAGGUCACGUCUUCUUGAUGACCUCCUACAACAUCAGCAAAGCACCAGCAUAGGAGAAAGUGUAUCCUGUAAGUGUGUUCAAGUUUUCUCAGAUACUGUCAACAGAGAAACUGGUAGGAUGGUCUGAGAGGCUUGUGUUGAUUGACAGGGCCUUCUCCUGGAGUCUAUGCUUCAGGCGCAUUUCCUGAUGUCUCAGUAUCAACUGAACACUUUGCAGAAGACCAUGCCCUAGAGAACUGGGUGCUCCCAUUUCUCUCUCUAGUUCCAGUUUCCUUUUGUGUUUGGUUCAUGGGUAAGUGGCAGUGUGGAGAUGGCUCUUAUUUGUUAGCUGGAUGCAGUGAGGACCUGCCUUUCACUAAAGGAUGUAAACGAGUGUUUAUGUAGGAAAACGUCAAAGAGUCCCUUCUCUCUCUCUCUCUCGCUCCAUAUGUAUAAAUAAUGUUUUUCUAAAUACCUCCACUCAUAAGGCCAUUCUCCAUGAAUUUUAUCAAAAAGCUGAGACUUUGAUGAUCAUUAUAUAGGUUAUAUUAUACAUAUUAUUAUAUAGAUAUACUAUGAAAUAGAUGACUGUUAUGUAGGUUAGAAGAUUUAGAAGCCAGGGUCCCCACAAAGUUAAGCAAUUUUUAUUUGCACAGCUCAGUAAAGUGGAAACAUGGAGCAGAUCCCAGACCCUCUGGCUCCAAGGGAUCGUGUCCAACAGACAUGACAAUUCUGUUUGCACGAUGUCUGGCACCUUGUAGGUGCUCAAAAUAUAUUGUUGAGUAAAUGAAUAAAUGUCUAGAAGUCUUUUGGUC
Molecule: long non-coding RNA, 2889 nt
Organism: Equus asinus (donkey)
Lineage: Eukaryota; Metazoa; Chordata; Mammalia; Perissodactyla; Equidae
Source: Ensembl